RNAcentral lists this ribosomal RNA (465 nucleotides) under Vreelandella stevensii. Its description in RNAcentral is "partial 16S ribosomal RNA". It matches the Rfam family "Bacterial small subunit ribosomal RNA", at positions 338 to 795 of the family's 1533-position model. The record is from RNAcentral. Lineage: Bacteria; Pseudomonadati; Pseudomonadota; Gammaproteobacteria; Oceanospirillales; Halomonadaceae.
CCUACGGGAGGCUGCAGUGGGGAAUAUUGGACAAUGGGGGCAACCCUGAUCCAGCCAUGCCGCGUGUGUGAAGAAGGCCCUCGGGUUGUAAAGCACUUUCAGUGAGGAAGAACGCCUGGUGGUUAAUACCCAUCAGGAAAGACAUCACUCACAGAAGAAGCACCGGCUAACUCCGUGCCAGCAGCCGCGGUAAUACGGAGGGUGCGAGCGUUAAUCGGAAUUACUGGGCGUAAAGCGCGCGUAGGUGGCUUGAUAAGCCGGUUGUGAAAGCCCCGGGCUCAACCUGGGAACGGCAUCCGGAACUGUCAAGCUAGAGUGCGGGAGAGGAAGGUAGAAUUCCCGGUGUAGCGGUGAAAUGCGUAGAGAUCGGGAGGAAUACCAGUGGCGAAGGCGGCCUUCUGGACUGACACUGACACUGAGGUGCGAAAGCGUGGGUAGCAAACAGGAUUAGAUACCCCUGUAGUC